Molecule: ribosomal RNA, 388 nt
Filed under: uncultured bacterium
Lineage: Bacteria
Description: bacterial SSU rRNA
Rfam family: Bacterial small subunit ribosomal RNA
Source: RNAcentral
GACGAACGCUGGCGGCGUGCUUAACACAUGCAAGUGGAGCGACGAACCAGGGCUUGCCCUGGGGCAAAGCCGCGAACGGGUGAGUAACACGUGAGUAACCUGCCCCGAUGACCGGGACAACCCGAGGAAACUCGGGCUAAUACCGGAUGUGGCGCACAGGCGUAAGCCUGUUCGCUAAAGGAAGCUUCGGCCUCCGCAUUGGGAGGGGCUCGCGGCCCAUUAGCUUGUUGGUGGGGUAACGGCCACCAAGGCAACGAUGGGUAGCUGGUCUGAGAGGACGAUCAGCCACACUGGGACUGAGACACGGCCCAGACUCCUACGGGAGGCAGCAGUGGGGAAUCUUGCGCAAUGCGCGAAAGCGUGACGCAGCAACGCCGCGGUGGGGGAA